UUGACCUCAAAUCAGGUAGGACUACCCGCUGAACUUAAGCAUAUCAAUAAGCGGAGGAAAAGAAACUAACAAGGAUUCCCCUAGUAACUGCGAGUGAAGCGGGAAGAGCUCAAAUUUUGAAUCUGGCGGUCCUUGUGGCCGUCCGAGUUGUAAUCUAGAGAAGUGUUUUCCGCGCUGGACCGUGUACAAGUCUCCUGGAAGGGAGCGUCAUAGAGGGUGAGAAUCCCGUCUUUGACACGGACAACCAGGGCUAUGUGAUGCGCUCUCGACGAGUCGAGUUGUUUGGGAAUGCAGCUCAAAUCGGGUGGUAAAUUCCAUCUAAAGCUAAAUACAGGCGAGAGACCGAUAGCGAACAAGUACCGUGAGGGAAAGAUGAAAAGAACUUUGGAAAGAGAGUUAAACAGUACGUGAAAUUGCUGAAAGGGAAACGCUUGAUGUCAGUCGCGUCGGCCGGGGAUCAACCUUGCUUAAUUGCUCGGCGUACUUCCUGGUCGACGGGUCAGCAUCAGUUUUGAUCGCCGUACAAGGGCGGAGGGAAUGUGGCACUCUUCGGAGUGUGUUAUAGCCUUUCGUCGUAUGCGGUGCUUGGGACUGAGGAACUCAGUACGACCUCUCGGGGUUCGGGGCUUAGGCCUAC
Molecule: ribosomal RNA, 637 nt
Filed under: Alpova diplophloeus
Lineage: Eukaryota; Fungi; Basidiomycota; Agaricomycetes; Boletales; Melanogastraceae
Description: eukaryotic LSU rRNA
Rfam family: Eukaryotic large subunit ribosomal RNA
Source: RNAcentral